This 225-nucleotide long non-coding RNA is filed under the name Carica papaya (papaya). Its description in RNAcentral is "long non-coding RNA (CPAP_LNC012496)". Lineage: Eukaryota; Viridiplantae; Streptophyta; Magnoliopsida; Brassicales; Caricaceae. The record is from RNAcentral.
GAGAGGCGGGGCAUAGGAUCAUAGGAUGAGUACGAGUAGGUUGAGGUGGUUGGGUGGGGACAUGAUUAGUUGGGAGGUGGGGAUUAGAUAAGUCUACUUGGGAGUUUAAAUUAUCAAAUGGAGAUAAGAGAGGAAAGAAUGUAAUGGGCAAGGUAAUGUCAGUUGGGUGAGCAAGACUUGAAUUUUGGAUGAGAGGAUAAGGUGUAGAGGUUGAAGGAUUAGAAU